This 425-nucleotide ribosomal RNA is filed under the name uncultured bacterium. RNAcentral's name for it is "bacterial SSU rRNA". It matches the Rfam family "Bacterial small subunit ribosomal RNA", at positions 354 to 796 of the family's 1533-position model. The record is from RNAcentral.
GUGGGGAAUAUUGGACAAUGGGCGCAAGCCUGAUCCAGCCAUGCCGCGUGAGUGAUGAAGGCCUUAGGGUUGUAAAGCUCUUUCAGUGGGGACGAUAAUGACGGUACCCACAGAAGAAGCCCCGGCUAACUUCGUGCCAGCAGCCGCGGUAAUACGAAGGGGGCUAGCGUUGUUCGGAUUUACUGGGCGUAAAGCGCACGUAGGCGGAUCGUUAAGUCGGGGGUGAAAUCCUGGAGCUCAACUCCAGAACUGCCUUCGAUACUGGCGAUCUUGAGUCCGGGAGAGGUGAGUGGAACUCCUAGUGUAGAGGUGGAAUUCGUAGAUAUUAGGAAGAACACCAGUGGCGAAGGCGGCUCACUGGUCCGGUACUGACGCUGAGGUGCGAAAGCGUGGGGAGCAAACAGGAUUAGAUACCCUAGUAGUCC